CACGUAGGGGGCGAGCGUUGUCCGGAUUUAUUGGGCGUAAAGAGCUCGUAGGCGGCUUGGUAAGUCAGGUGUGAAAACUCCGAGCUCAACUCGGAGACGCCAUCUGAUACUGCCAUGGCUAGAGUCCGGUAGGGGAGUGCGGAAUUCCUGGUGUAGCGGUGAAAUGCACAGAUAUCAGGAGGAACACCGAUGGCGAAGGCAGCACUCUGGGCCGGUACUGACGCUGAGGAGCGAAAGCGUGGGUAGCAAA
RNAcentral lists this ribosomal RNA (250 nucleotides) under uncultured bacterium. Its description in RNAcentral is "partial 16S ribosomal RNA". It matches the Rfam family "Bacterial small subunit ribosomal RNA", at positions 524 to 772 of the family's 1533-position model. The record is from RNAcentral.